GUGCAGUCCGAGCGAAUGGAUUAAGAAGCUUGCUCCUUAUGAAGUUAGCGGCGGACGGGUGAGUAACACGUGGGUAACCUGCCCAUAAGACUGGGAUAACUCCGGGAAACCGGGGCUAAUACCGGAUAAUAUUUUGAACUGCAUGGUUCGAAAUUGAAAGGCGGCUUCGGCUGUCACUUAUGGAUGGACCCGCGUCGCAUUAGCUAGUUGGUGAGGUAACGGCUCACCAAGGCAACGAUGCGUAACCGACCUGAGAGGGUGAUCGGCCACACUGGGACUGAGACACGGCCCACACUCCUACGGGAGGCAGCAGUAGGGAAUCUUCCGCAAUGGACGAAAGUCUGACGGAGCAACGCCGCGUGAGUGAUGAAGGCUUUCGGGUCGUAAAACUCUGUUGUUAGGGAAGAACAAGUGCUAAUUGAAUAAGCUGGCACCUUGACGGUACCUAACCAGAAAGCCACGGCUAACUACGUGCCAGCAGCCGCGGUAAUACGUAGGUGGCAAGCGUUAUCCGGAAUUAUUGGGCGUAAAGCGCGCGCAGGUGGUUUCUUAAGUCUGAUGUGAAAGCCCACGGCUCAACCGUGGAGGGUCAUUGGAAACUGGGAGACUUGAGUGCAAAAGAGGAGAGUGGAAUUCCAUGUGUAGCGGUGAAAUGCGUAUAGAUAUGGAGGAACACCAGUGGCGAAAGCGACUUUCUGGUCUGUAACUGACACUGAGGCGCGAAAGCGUGGGGAGCAAACAGGAUUACAUACCCUGGUAGUCCACGCCGUAAACGAUGAGUGCUAAGUGUUAGAGGGUUUCCGCCCUUUAUUGCUGAAGUUAACGCAUUAAGCACUCCGCCUGGGGAGUACGGCCGCAAGGCUGAAACUCAAAGGAAUUGACGGGGGCCCGC
RNAcentral lists this ribosomal RNA (892 nucleotides) under Bacillus proteolyticus. RNAcentral's name for it is "bacterial SSU rRNA". It matches the Rfam family "Bacterial small subunit ribosomal RNA", at positions 55 to 924 of the family's 1533-position model. The record is from RNAcentral. Lineage: Bacteria; Bacillati; Bacillota; Bacilli; Caryophanales; Bacillaceae.